UAACGAUUUAGGGUAUCAGAACGGGUAUACUAGAUGCAAAAGGGUGUGAUGAGGUUCCAUCGGCGAGACACGGCAGGCCGAGGAAGAACAAGAGGUACGUAUAAAAGGGGGUGUGAGAAUAGCGCCUCGACGUGACAUUGCUGCCCGCGAAGAGGUGCUCUCGGUAAUGAUCCUUCCGCAGGUUCACCUACGGAAA
This 196-nucleotide unclassified non-coding RNA is filed under the name uncultured fungus. RNAcentral describes it as "sequence contains ITS1". Lineage: Eukaryota; Fungi. The record is from RNAcentral.